Peromyscus maniculatus bairdii (prairie deer mouse) is the source of this 106-nucleotide small nuclear RNA. The record is from Ensembl. NCBI's taxonomy places the organism in Eukaryota, Metazoa, Chordata, Mammalia, Rodentia, Cricetidae.
GUGCUUGCUUUAGCAGCACACAGACUAAAGCUGGAACAUACAGAGGAGAUUAGCAUGGCCCCUGCACAAAGAUGACAUGCGAAUCCGUGAAGCGCUCCAUAUUUUU